This 72-nucleotide transfer RNA is filed under the name Parcubacteria group bacterium ADurb.Bin326. RNAcentral's name for it is "tRNA-Thr". It matches the Rfam family "tRNA". Rfam says of the family: Transfer RNA (tRNA) molecules are approximately 80 nucleotides in length. Their secondary structure includes four short double-helical elements and three loops (D, anti-codon, and T loops). Further hydrogen bonds mediate the characteristic L-shaped molecular structure. tRNAs have two regions of fundamental functional importance: the anti-codon, which is responsible for specific mRNA codon recognition, and the 3' end, to which the tRNAs corresponding amino acid is attached (by aminoacyl-tRNA synthetases). tRNAs cope with the degeneracy of the genetic code in two manners: having more than one tRNA (with a specific anti-codon) for a particular amino acid; and 'wobble' base-pairing, i.e. permitting non-standard base-pairing at the 3rd anti-codon position. The record is from RNAcentral.
GCCGGCCUAGCUCAAUGGUAGAGCAACCGCCUUGUAAGCGGUAGGUUAUCAGUUCGAUUCUGAUGGCCGGCU